ACUUGACAACCGCGAGCUCAUGACCUGAGCUGAAGUGGAACGCUUAACCGAAUGAGCCACCCAGGCGCUCCUUGCCUUCCUUUGAAUUACUAGCCUUGGCACUAUGGAUUUAAACAUGAAAUGGACUGGCAGGGUCAGAGUCGUGUAUUGGAGUGUCUGUUAAUUUAGAUGCUGUGUGAUGUUGAAGCUGAACCACAUGACACUGAGCCCAUCAGAAUAGAUGGUGUGUAUAUACUAAUGAGCACAUUGGAUGCUUCAUGUGGGGAAGACAUGAUCGUAAAUGGGAAUACAGCCAAAUGAACAUAUAACACCGAAAGUUUGGCAAUGCAAGGAACAGUUAUCCGGGGCCAAGAGUGAGAAAACAGAUGGGUACUUGGACUAGACCACCCAGGCAGGGACAGCCAAGGUGCUCAUCACGGUGGUGUGGAUGAUUGUCCAGUCAACUCCCACCUCCUGCUCUCCUUGCGAAAGAUCUUGGGUGAGAGAGGGUCCAGAUACAGGAGGCAGAAGGUCAUCAGUAGAGACACUCCAGUGGGGUCUCCCUGAAGCUAACUUGUUCCCAGUUGAGAUGACUUUCCAAGAGGUUGUUCGAGGAAAUAAUUUGGGCGUUUAGUUUCCUUGGAGAGAUCUGAGGGCUUAGCUGAAGAGAGGAGCCAAAUGCAUUAAGAUUAGAUUCUGCUGAGGUGGCAGAAACCUCACCAUAACAGUGGCCUAAUAAAAACUCUAUUAUUAUUCAUAUAAAAGAUGAAGAGAUGUGUCAAUCUGGAGCGGAUAUCUUGUUCUACGAUGUCAGGCACCCGGUCUCCUUCUACCUUGUUGAGCAUGUGGCUUCUACCGUGGGACACAAGGUGGUUGCUCAAGCCCCUGCCAUCACAUCUUUCUAGAAGCAGAGAAGGGGAGAAGGGAAAGAAGGGCAUGCCCCCUCCCAUUAAACACAGUUCUAGAUGGUGCCCACAGCCCUCCCUUCAGUUGCAUACCUAUCCAGGAUUACUCAGAAUCCUGACAAGUCCAGCCCCCAAAUUAGAAGUUCUUCUUGUCAAAGAACAAGGGGAGAAAGGAUUUAUUUUGUAGUAUAGCCAUCAGUCUUUGCCACUUGAGGGCAGACAAGAGGAAGGUCUUGAAGUUCUGUGAGUCAUUAGGGUUGGGCUUCCAGGGCUGGUCACUCCAGAUCUGUAACUCGGGCAUUACCAGGAACUGCUGUACGCUUGUGGGGUGAAGACAAGGUGGGGGCGAGUUGGAGAGGCAGCUCGUUUCCUGAGGCCCAUGCCCAUGCAUACAAGCACUUGGAUCCCACCAUGGGAUAGACCCACCAUGUGGACCAGUGACAUCUCCUGACACAUGCCCCUCACAACAGCACUUUUGCAAAAUGGUAGAAGGCCUGACUCAAAAGUUGGGGUUCUGAAAUAAUUUUGUGCAGUGUCACUUUAUAGACAUGAAGCGGGCCUCUUUAUGGUGAGAAGUCUCAGGACGUUUAGUGUGGACGAUAGCGUAUUGUGGAACUCCAAGGGUAGGAUCGGUCCUGUGGUGUCCUCUCCCCUUCCACCCACAGUGCAUCUCCAGGAUCCUGGGGUGCCCACCUGUGGACUCAGAGACACACAGGACAAGAGACUCUGCAGGUGAAUCUCCUGGUGCUGUCUCUGGCAAUGUGAGUAACAGCAGACUGGUGCUACAUGAGGAGAUUGGGGGAGGGGCAACAAAGGGAGCGAAAGAUGCCGAAGUUCAAGUUGAAAAAGGAAGAAGUGAUUUGCAAUCUGGAUGAGACAGCAAAGGCAUGGGGGUUAAAGUGGAAACUCUCAAGUAGGACAGGUGUGACAAGAAUUCUGAUUGAUCCUCCUCCCAGGAUGGCAGAGAGAGAGGACCUGAUUGUUAUGACCCAAACGAAGAUCAGCAGUGCAUUCAAAGCAGUAGGAGAGGGGGCACUCCAUGUGUAACCUGCAGGCUGACCGUGAGACAAGGAUAGCUUGAGAAAGCCAGAGUGACAUUAGACAUGUCCUUCCACACACCUUUUAGCUAUUCUGGAUAAAGGGCUCAUCAUAGACGCUGCUUACGAGCCGAGCUUUAGCCCUCCAAAAAUAUGGAGAAUUAUCUUUCCCUCAGAUUUAAAACUUUUAUUUUAGGGAAAACGUCCCCCUUUUCCUAAAAGGUGUAGGGAAAAUAAACUUCCAGAGGAGGAGUCGGUGGUGGUGGUGUUCAUAUGCGAUGGGGAAGUGGGAGUGGCCUUCCCCGUGUCCCCUCUUCUCUAUGUGGGUUUCUCCACGUUAUCUGCUAUAUGGAGACAAGUCUAUGUCUUUGCAAACCCCAUCUCUGAGGGGUGGAGAGACAGAGAAGGAGGGACAAGAAAAGGAGGGUGAGAAAAUAUCAUUUUUCUCUUGCAACAUAUAUCCCUACCCCUUCACCGCACCCCUGCUCUGUCACUUCUGGCUCUAUCUUUCCACAAUUACUGAAAUUCGCUCAUUUGAUACAACCUUCUGGAUGCCCUUUCUCCCUCUCCAUUUAUGGGGUUCCUUCUGUAUUUUGACUUCACAACAGAAAUCAGAGCUCGGCUACUGGCUUUUUUAGAUGUUGAGAGCACACAGCCAGUGCUCCCCAGUGGAGCCUCGUCCAUGGUCCAGGCUGGGGCUGGGGUGCACGUUCUGGGCUGUGAUUGAGGAUCAAAUGGCGGGUCUGCUGGCAGGUGCUAGGUAGGGGAGGCUUGAAGUUCAUGUGCAUGCACACUCUCCCCGUUAUCUUAAGCCUCCUUCAAGCUGCCUUUCAUUUAUUUUAACCUGAUUUUACUGGAACAAAUAUGCUCAAAGAUCGAGUUAGGGGUGGAGACAAAGUACUGCUAAUUCUCCCUUCCCUCUGCCCAUCAAGCUAACCAGUCACUUUGUGCAGCUCAGCAGAGCGGAACCGAAAAUUCCUUACCCUUGUUUGUCUCCAUACCCGUUGGAAUUUAAAAUAGAGAGCAAAGGUAGUUUCUGAGAGAGCCUCUCCUUUCCAUAUUUGAAGAUUAGCAGCACGGUGUGUAUUUCUAGCAGGACUUGGUAUGACCUAAGCGAUGCUCCCAGCACUCCCCUGUGCGCAAACCCAUCUCACGUGGUAUAUGAUAACUUGUCCCCAGUGCUGCAGAAAACUAAGAGGGAAGAGUGAGAGAAUCCACUCAUGCAUAAUUGAAGUCUAGGCAGAUAUUUAUUGGAUUCAUAAGCCUGAGUUAUUGACAAAGAGAAGGGGGAAAUAGCAGAAUUGUCAGUGGCAUUAAUAAUCUGUGCCAAAGGGUAGCAGCACCUACGUACUUCAGGAGGGCAAUACAAAAGGCACACACGUCCAGCGGAGGAAGACAUUCAGUAAGCUCUGGCCAGGGCAGCUCAAACAAAUCUAUACUGGAUCCCCAGCUUGAAAAGCUCACACUGAGACUUGAUAAAUGUGCCACUUCAUUUCUCUGAGUAGUGUAUUCCAUACGUGGCCAAACACUUCAACACUUCAGACCACAUCCUUUCUGAUUUUAGAAUUUUUCCCAACAAGAGUGCGUUUUAAAACCUGAACUCUUGGAUGCAGGAAGAAAACUUUUGUGGACAGACCAAGCAGAAUGUUCAGCUGGCCGUGGCUGCGGGGAAGGAAGACAAUAUAGGCAUUUACAGGCUGGGCCUUCUGGAAUCCUCGUUGAGAAGUGUUGGAUGUGGGCUCCAGAGAGGUCUGCCCACCUCCCCAUCCUUACACUGUGCUGCAGCCCCUUUCAAAUAUCACACAUGAACAGCAACAGAAAGCUUCUUUCUUUCCCUGAAUGGGAGAAGUUAGCCUUAAGUUUUGUGCUUUGUGUUGAGCAGGGCGCUUUAUUUUUUGAUUUUUACUUUUGAUCGUCCCAAAUUAAGUAUUUGGAAAUCAACUGACGUUCCGUACCCCACCCCCACCCAUGCCUUUCUUGGCAGCAAUUAAUUUUUUGGUCUGGAAUACUUCCAAAACCUACGGAGAACUAACUUCCAUGAGCCACUUGGCUUUCAAUCAUAAAUGUCAGACACAUAAACAACGCGUGUAGCACUGUCUCACAUAACACAAUUAAAAGAUGUAAAUACAGAGUCUUUCAGUCAAAUCAACUGUGCAAAUAAAUACACUGUGGAAUGUGUUACAUAUGUGCAUCUUUAAGGUUAUAAACACACACAUCUGUUUAAAUCCUGUGUGUAUGAAGUUUGCACACAAGUAAAAGUUGGUGAUACUAUUUUUUCUUCCUCACCCUGUUAAAACAAAAAUGCAUUUGUGUGUCAAAAAAUCGAGUGCAAUCUAAAAAUGAUGUGUAUUUCCACCGCGUGUUUUUAUAUAAAAUGAAAUUACCCAUCGUA
This is a long non-coding RNA of Leopardus geoffroyi (Geoffroy's cat), 4313 nucleotides long. RefSeq lists it as uncharacterized. NCBI's taxonomy places the organism in Eukaryota, Metazoa, Chordata, Mammalia, Carnivora, Felidae. The transcript has 2 exons. The record is from RefSeq and is a predicted model, not a curated record.